RNAcentral lists this ribosomal RNA (468 nucleotides) under uncultured bacterium. RNAcentral's name for it is "partial 16S ribosomal RNA". It matches the Rfam family "Bacterial small subunit ribosomal RNA", at positions 28 to 507 of the family's 1533-position model. The record is from RNAcentral.
GACGAACGCUGGCGGCGUGCUUAACACAUGCAAGUCGAACGGAAAGGCCCUGCUUUUGUGGGGUGCUCGAGUGGCGAACGGGUGAGUAACACGUGAGUAACCUGCCCUUGACUUUGGGAUAACUUCAGGAAACUGGGGCUAAUACCGGAUAGGAGCUCCUGCUGCAUGGUGGGGGUUGGAAAGUUUCGGCGGUUGGGGAUGGACUCGCGGCUUAUCAGCUUGUUGGGGGGGUAGUGGCUUACCAAGGCUUUGACGGGUAGCCGGCCUGAGGGGGUGACCGGCCACAUUGGGCCUGAGAUACGGCCCAGACUCCUACGGGAGGCAGCAGUGGGGAAUAUUGCACAAUAGGCGGAGGCCUGAUGCAGCAACGCCGCGUGCGGGAUGACGGCCUUCGGGUUGUAAACCGCUUUCGCCUGUGACGAAGCGUGAGUGACGGUAAUGGGUAAAGAAGCACCGGCUAACUACGUG